Molecule: long non-coding RNA, 230 nt
Filed under: Elaeis guineensis (African oil palm)
Lineage: Eukaryota; Viridiplantae; Streptophyta; Magnoliopsida; Arecales; Arecaceae
Description: long non-coding RNA (EGUI_LNC061326)
Source: RNAcentral
AUCGCAGCAAGCUUGAGGUUCUGAUUUAGCCACGCAAUCACCUAGCCUCUACCAGUAUCCACUCAGACAGGAUCUAGAUCGUCUUCUCCUCGCAAAUCUCUGCUCCAAAAAUCAAAACUAAAUCUGAUUAGGAAGAUCUUCAAAAGUCUUCCUGAAGUUGGAGCAGUAGUCUGUCGAAGAAGUCCUGCAGCCUUCCUGUUCAAGGCGUCACCACGCCUUAGACCUUUGCC